This 2904-nucleotide ribosomal RNA is filed under the name Escherichia coli. Its description in RNAcentral is "23S ribosomal RNA". It matches the Rfam family "Bacterial large subunit ribosomal RNA". The record is from RNAcentral. Lineage: Bacteria; Pseudomonadati; Pseudomonadota; Gammaproteobacteria; Enterobacterales; Enterobacteriaceae.
GGUUAAGCGACUAAGCGUACACGGUGGAUGCCCUGGCAGUCAGAGGCGAUGAAGGACGUGCUAAUCUGCGAUAAGCGUCGGUAAGGUGAUAUGAACCGUUAUAACCGGCGAUUUCCGAAUGGGGAAACCCAGUGUGUUUCGACACACUAUCAUUAACUGAAUCCAUAGGUUAAUGAGGCGAACCGGGGGAACUGAAACAUCUAAGUACCCCGAGGAAAAGAAAUCAACCGAGAUUCCCCCAGUAGCGGCGAGCGAACGGGGAGCAGCCCAGAGCCUGAAUCAGUGUGUGUGUUAGUGGAAGCGUCUGGAAAGGCGCGCGAUACAGGGUGACAGCCCCGUACACAAAAAUGCACAUAUUGUGAGCUCGAUGAGUAGGGCGGGACACGUGGUAUCCUGUCUGAAUAUGGGGGGACCAUCCUCCAAGGCUAAAUACUCCUGACUGACCGAUAGUGAACCAGUACCGUGAGGGAAAGGCGAAAAGAACCCCGGCGAGGGGAGUGAAAAAGAACCUGAAACCGUGUACGUACAAGCAGUGGGAGCACGCUUAGGCGUGUGACUGCGUACCUUUUGUAUAAUGGGUCAGCGACUUAUAUUCUGUAGCAAGGUUAACCGAAUAGGGGAGCCGAAGGGAAACCGAGUCUUAACUGGGCGUUAAGUUGCAGGGUAUAGACCCGAAACCCGGUGAUCUAGCCAUGGGCAGGUUGAAGGUUGGGUAACACUAACUGGAGGACCGAACCGACUAAUGUUGAAAAAUUAGCGGAUGACUUGUGGCUGGGGGUGAAAGGCCAAUCAAACCGGGAGAUAGCUGGUUCUCCCCGAAAGCUAUUUAGGUAGCGCCUCGUGAAUUCAUCUCCGGGGGUAGAGCACUGUUUCGGCAAGGGGGUCAUCCCGACUUACCAACCCGAUGCAAACUGCGAAUACCGGAGAAUGUUAUCACGGGAGACACACGGCGGGUGCUAACGUCCGUCGUGAAGAGGGAAACAACCCAGACCGCCAGCUAAGGUCCCAAAGUCAUGGUUAAGUGGGAAACGAUGUGGGAAGGCCCAGACAGCCAGGAUGUUGGCUUAGAAGCAGCCAUCAUUUAAAGAAAGCGUAAUAGCUCACUGGUCGAGUCGGCCUGCGCGGAAGAUGUAACGGGGCUAAACCAUGCACCGAAGCUGCGGCAGCGACGCUGAUGCGUUGUUGGGUAGGGGAGCGUUCUGUAAGCCUGCGAAGGUGUGCUGUGAGGCAUGCUGGAGGUAUCAGAAGUGCGAAUGCUGACAUAAGUAACGAUAAAGCGGGUGAAAAGCCCGCUCGCCGGAAGACCAAGGGUUCCUGUCCAACGUUAAUCGGGGCAGGGUGAGUCGACCCCUAAGGCGAGGCCGAAAGGCGUAGUCGAUGGGAAACAGGUUAAUAUUCCUGUACUUGGUGUUACUGCGAAGGGGGGACGGAGAAGGCUAUGUUGGCCGGGCGACGGUUGUCCCGGUUUAAGCGUGUAGGCUGGUUUUCCAGGCAAAUCCGGAAAAUCAAGGCUGAGGCGUGAUGACGAGGCACUACGGUGCUGAAGCAACAAAUGCCCUGCUUCCAGGAAAAGCCUCUAAGCAUCAGGUAACAUCAAAUCGUACCCCAAACCGACACAGGUGGUCAGGUAGAGAAUACCAAGGCGCUUGAGAGAACUCGGGUGAAGGAACUAGGCAAAAUGGUGCCGUAACUUCGGGAGAAGGCACGCUGAUAUGUAGGUGAAGUCCCUCGCGGAUGGAGCUGAAAUCAGUCGAAGAUACCAGCUGGCUGCAACUGUUUAUUAAAAACACAGCACUGUGCAAACACGAAAGUGGACGUAUACGGUGUGACGCCUGCCCGGUGCCGGAAGGUUAAUUGAUGGGGUCAGCGCAAGCGAAGCUCUUGAUCGAAGCCCCGGUAAACGGCGGCCGUAACUAUAACGGUCCUAAGGUAGCGAAAUUCCUUGUCGGGUAAGUUCCGACCUGCACGAAUGGCGUAAUGAUGGCCAGGCUGUCUCCACCCGAGACUCAGUGAAAUUGAACUCGCUGUGAAGAUGCAGUGUACCCGCGGCAAGACGGAAAGACCCCGUGAACCUUUACUAUAGCUUGACACUGAACAUUGAGCCUUGAUGUGUAGGAUAGGUGGGAGGCUUUGAAGUGUGGACGCCAGUCUGCAUGGAGCCGACCUUGAAAUACCACCCUUUAAUGUUUGAUGUUCUAACGUUGACCCGUAAUCCGGGUUGCGGACAGUGUCUGGUGGGUAGUUUGACUGGGGCGGUCUCCUCCUAAAGAGUAACGGAGGAGCACGAAGGUUGGCUAAUCCUGGUCGGACAUCAGGAGGUUAGUGCAAUGGCAUAAGCCAGCUUGACUGCGAGCGUGACGGCGCGAGCAGGUGCGAAAGCAGGUCAUAGUGAUCCGGUGGUUCUGAAUGGAAGGGCCAUCGCUCAACGGAUAAAAGGUACUCCGGGGAUAACAGGCUGAUACCGCCCAAGAGUUCAUAUCGACGGCGGUGUUUGGCACCUCGAUGUCGGCUCAUCACAUCCUGGGGCUGAAGUAGGUCCCAAGGGUAUGGCUGUUCGCCAUUUAAAGUGGUACGCGAGCUGGGUUUAGAACGUCGUGAGACAGUUCGGUCCCUAUCUGCCGUGGGCGCUGGAGAACUGAGGGGGGCUGCUCCUAGUACGAGAGGACCGGAGUGGACGCAUCACUGGUGUUCGGGUUGUCAUGCCAAUGGCACUGCCCGGUAGCUAAAUGCGGAAGAGAUAAGUGCUGAAAGCAUCUAAGCACGAAACUUGCCCCGAGAUGAGUUCUCCCUGACUCCUUGAGAGUCCUGAAGGAACGUUGAAGACGACGACGUUGAUAGGCCGGGUGUGUAAGCGCAGCGAUGCGUUGAGCUAACCGGUACUAAUGAACCGUGAGGCUUAACCUU